RNAcentral lists this ribosomal RNA (301 nucleotides) under uncultured bacterium. RNAcentral's name for it is "partial 16S ribosomal RNA". It matches the Rfam family "Bacterial small subunit ribosomal RNA", at positions 509 to 807 of the family's 1533-position model. The record is from RNAcentral.
CAGUAGCCGCGGGAAUACGUAGGGUGCGAGCGUUAAUCGGAAUUACUGGGCGUAAAGCGUGCGCAGGCGGUUAUAUAAGACAGUUGUGAAAUCCCCGGGCUCAACCUGGGAACUGCAUCUGUGACUGUAUAGCUAGAGUACGGUAGAGGGGGAUGGAAUUCCGCGUGUAGCAGUGAAAUGCGUAGAUAUGCGGAGGAACACCGAUGGCGAAGGCAAUCCCCUGGACCUGUACUGACGCUCAUGCACGAAAGCGUGGGGAGCAAACAGGAUUAGAUACCCGCGUAGUCCCUGUCUCUUAUAC